This 393-nucleotide ribosomal RNA is filed under the name uncultured bacterium. RNAcentral describes it as "partial 16S ribosomal RNA". It matches the Rfam family "Bacterial small subunit ribosomal RNA", at positions 523 to 918 of the family's 1533-position model. The record is from RNAcentral.
AUACGGAGGAUGCAAGCGUUAUCCGGAUUUAUUGGGUUUAAAGGGUGCGUAGGCGGUUUGCUAAGCGGGAGGUGAAAUGCCGGCGCUCAACGUCGGAAGUGCCUCCCGAACUGGUGGACUGGAAUGACUCUGCCGUGGGAGGAAUGUGUAGUGUAGCGGUGAAAUGCUUAGAGAUUACACAGAACACCGAUUGCGAAGGCAUCUCACGAAGGGUUGAUUGACGCUGAGGCACGAAAGCGUGGGGAUCAAACGGGAUUAGAUACCCUGGUAGUCCACGCAGUAAACGAUGAUGGCUAACCGCUGGUUUAUUCGGAUCAGUGGCCAAGCGAAAGCGAUAAGCCAUCCACCUGGGGAGUACGACCGCAAGGUUGAAACUCAAAUGAAUUGGCGGGG